CCUACGGGUGGCAGCAGUGAGGAAUAUUGGUCAAUGGGCGCGAGCCUGAACCAGCAAAGUAGCGUGAAGGAUGACUGCCCUACGGGUUGUAAACUUCUUUUAUAAAGGAAUAAAGUGAGGCACGUGUGCCUUUUUGUAUGUACUUUAUGAAUAAGGAUCGGCUAACUCCGUGCCAGCAGCCGCGGUAAUACGGAGGAUCCGAGCGUUAUCCGGAUUUAUUGGGUUUAAGGGGAGCGUAGAUGGGUUGUUAAGUCGGUUGUGAAAGUUUGCGGCGCAACCGGAAAAUUGCAAUUGAUACUGGCAGCCUUGAGUACAGUUGAGGUAGGCGGAAUGCGUGGUGUAGCGGUGAAAUGCUUAGAUAUCACGAAGAACUCCGAUUGCGAAGGCAGCUUACUAAUCUGCCACUGACAUUGAUGCUCGAAAGUGUGGGUAUCAAACAGGAUUAGAUACCCGGGUAGUC
This 460-nucleotide ribosomal RNA is filed under the name uncultured bacterium. RNAcentral describes it as "partial 16S ribosomal RNA". It matches the Rfam family "Bacterial small subunit ribosomal RNA", at positions 338 to 795 of the family's 1533-position model. The record is from RNAcentral.